This 71-nucleotide transfer RNA is filed under the name Marmota monax (woodchuck). RNAcentral describes it as "tRNA.Val". The stretch from base 6 to 66 matches the Rfam family "tRNA", at positions 6 to 65 of the family's 71-position model. From Rfam's summary of the family: Transfer RNA (tRNA) molecules are approximately 80 nucleotides in length. Their secondary structure includes four short double-helical elements and three loops (D, anti-codon, and T loops). Lineage: Eukaryota; Metazoa; Chordata; Mammalia; Rodentia; Sciuridae. The record is from RNAcentral.
GGGGCUGUAGCUCAGUGGUAGAGCACUUGCCUCACAUGUGUGAGGCACUGAGUUUGAUCCUCAGCAUCACA